UUGCAAUCCGGAUCAGCUGGCUCGGCGAGGCUCGGAGCGGCAGCGCCGGAGCCAGUCAAACGGGGCCGGGGCUGCAAAGGCGUCGCCCCCUCGCCGCCUCCGGGGAGCUGGGCGAGGCGGCGGCGGCUGGGCGUCGCUGGUCCCGGAGUUGGCCGACGCUCCCUGGGCUGCUGACAGCUCGGCUCCGCAGCCUGCCUCCUCUCUCUCUCUCUCUCACACACACACACACACCCCGCCUUUCUUCCAGGCGGCCAGCCGUGCGCCAAGGCGAGGGCGUGCGCGUUGCGCAGGGCGUCCCCGGACCGGCUCGCUCGCUCGCUCGCUCGCUGCAGCUUCUGGGCGCGCGGUUGGAGAUGCGCCUCCCCGGCUUGUGAGCGGCCUCUCGCCCUGCCUCCCCCCCCCUCUCCCCACCCCCGGCGGCCAAGAUGACGGUGGAAUUCGAGGAGUGCAUUAAGGAUUCGCCCCGAUUCCGGGCGACCAUAGAUGAGGUAGAAACAGACGUGGUGGAGAUAGAAGUCAAGCUUGAUAAGCUGGUAAAGCUAUGCAGCAACAUGGUCGACGCCGGGAAAGCGUACAUCAUCACCAACAAACAGUUUGUCGGUGGCGUGCGAGACCUGUCCCAGCAGUGCAAGAAGGACGAAAUGAUCUCGGAAUGCUUGGAUAAAUUUGGAGACAGUUUGCAGGAAAUGGUCAACUAUCACAUGAUCCUUUUCGACCAAGCUCAGAGGUCUGUCCGGCAACAGUUGAACAACUUUGUGAAGGAGGAUGUCCGCAAGUUCAAGGAGACCAAAAAACAGUUCGAUAAAGUUCGAGAAGACAUGGAGAUCGCCUUGGUCAAGAAUGCCCAAGCCCCACGGCACAAGCCCCACGAAGUAGAAGAGGCCACGGGCACGUUGACAAUCACCAGGAAAUGCUUCCGGCACUUGGCCCUGGAUUACGUCUUGCAGAUCAACGUUCUCCAGGCCAAGAAGAAAUUUGAAAUUCUGGAUGCCAUGCUUUCCUUUAUGCACGCCCAAUACACCUUUUUCCAGCAAGGUUACAGCCUCCUGCACGAAUUGGAUCCUUACAUGAAGAAACUAGCCACUGAGCUGGACCAGUUGGUGAUCGACUCGGCUGUGGAGAAGAGGGAAAUGGAGCAUAAACACGCCCUUAUUCAGCAACGGACUCUUUUACAGGAUUUCUCUUACGAUGAAUCCAAGGUGGAAUUCAACGUGGAUGCUCCCAACGGAGUAGUGAUGGAAGGAUACCUCUUCAAGAGAGCAAGCAAUGCCUUCAAGACCUGGAAUCGGAGAUGGUUCUCCAUACAAAAUAGCCAGCUGGUCUAUCAGAAGAAGCUAAAGGAUGUACUCACGGUCGUUGUGGAAGACCUCCGGCUUUGCACAGUCAAGCCUUGCGAGGACAUAGAACGGAGGUUUUGUUUUGAAGUGGUCUCCCCCACCAAGAGCUGCAUGUUACAAGCCGAUUCAGAGAAGCUGCGCCAAGCGUGGAUCCAGGCGGUCCAAGCGAGCAUAGCCUCCGCCUAUCGAGAAAGCCCUGAUAGCUGCUUCGUUGAAAAAUUGGACCGAACAGCUUCCCCUUCAACCAGCAGUAUAGACUCCGCCUCCGAUUCCCGGGACCGAAGUGGGAAAGGGGAAACUAUCCUGCAGAGGGUGCAGAGUAUCUCUGGCAACGACCAGUGUUGUGACUGCGGGCAAGCCGAUCCCCGGUGGGCGAGCAUCAACUUGGGCAUCUUACUAUGCAUUGAAUGUUCAGGGAUACACAGGAGCUUGGGAGUUCACUGCUCCAAAGUGCGGUCACUCACGCUGGACUCUUGGGAGCCAGAACUAUUGAAGCUGAUGUGUGAGCUGGGCAAUGCAACCAUGAACCAGAUCUACGAGGCUCAGUGCGAGGAGAUGGGGCUGAAAAAGCCAACAGCUGGCAGCUCAAGGCAGGACAAAGAAGCAUGGAUCAAAGUCAAAUACGUGGAGAAGAAGUUUCUGAAGAAGCUCCCUUCGCGAGAACCCCUGGCCGACCACGAGCAGAAGCCCCGCCGCUGGAGUGUGAAAAAGUGCCAGAGGUGCAACAGCACCACCAAAGCGCCCACUACUCGCAGGAAGUACCGGCACGAGGCGGGAAACGCGUCUCCGGCUGCCCACUCUUCAGCUGCCACUUUGGAAAGGAAGUUCCGCCGAGAUUCCCUCUUCUGUCCCGACGAGCUGGAUUCCCUCUUCUCGUACUUUGACACAGGAGCAGGCCCCCGCAGUGGGAACCAGGCGUCAACUCAACAGCCUGUGGGAGCCAGCCCAUGGAGUGAGACCUGCAAUGGCCCUGGAGGCAGCGGUUCGCCCUUUCUGCUGGAUGGAGGUCUAAGCAGCGACAGUGGACUGGGUGGGAGCACUGAUGGCAGCACAGACGUCUUGGUGUUUGGCUCGGUGGUUGAUAGCGUCACAGAAGAAGAGGGGGAAGCAUCAGAAGAAUCCAGCGGGGACGUCGAAAUUGAGCAGGAGGCCUCCGAUUUGGAAGACCUGCGGGCGCUCCAUCCUGGUUUACUUGUUUACAAGGCGUCAAGGGCCAGGAACCUGCCCGUGAUGGCGGAGGCCCUGGCCCACGGUGCCAGCGUCAACUGGGUGAACGAAGAAGACGAGAGCAAAACCCCGCUGAUCCAAGCUGUCAUGGGGGGCUCACUAAUAGCCUGUGAAUUUUUGCUCCAGAACGGGGCAGACGUUAACCAAAGAGAUAUCCGAGGGCGGGCACCUUUGCAUCAUGCCACAUAUUUGGGCCACACCGGCCAGGUCUGCUUAUUCCUAAAGAGAGGAGCCAACCAGCACGCAGCUGACGAGGAUGGGCAGGACCCCCUCAGCAUCGCUGUCCAGGCCGCUAAUGCGGACAUCGUGACCUUGCUGCGUCUGGCUCGGAUGAAUGAAGAGAUGCGUGAAGCCGAGGGCCCUUUCGGACACCCAGGUCAAUAUACCAACAAUAGCCCUACAGAGCUUCAGUACCGAAAAUGUAUACAGGAGUUCAUCAGCCUUAACAUAGAUGAGUGUUAGUGAGAACUUCGGCAACCUCCGUGUUUUGGGUCAAAAUUUAAGGAAGCUGAACUGAGCCCAAGGAAAAACAAACAAACAAACAAAAAGGAAACAAACAAACUCUAGACGUGUGUUUUGGGGUAGGGGAAUUUGCUGACCGAAAGUUUCCAUUCAGAACACGAAAGAGUGGAUGGGCUGAAAGCUGCACAGCGAGAGGAGGAGAGCGAGAGAGGACCCUUAAAAACCAACCGAGAUCAGAUUUAUUUAUUUAUUUAUUGCUGCAUUUUGGUUCAGGAGGAGUGGGUGCAUCUGAGCUUAAAUCUGCCCUUCGGUUCCCCCACCACCACCACCAAAAAAAGCAACUGACUGUCUGAAUGGUCUCUCCAGGCCUAAAAGCAGGGUUUGGAGGCGAAAUGUUUUAAGGAAAGUGAUCCCAAACGUGCAGCUGAUGGCGGCUUCUUCUUAAUCUCUCUCUCUCUCUCUCUCCCUGUAUCUGUCUCUCUUCUUUGUCUUGUGCACACCCUCGGCCAUGCCGAUGGCAUUGCGGCAGGAAAUCCAAAUCGACGGGAGGGAGAACCAGAACACACGAGACACACGACAAGCAUGCACACAUACACAGGAACACGUGGCCAGGAACGAGAUAGCCCCGUUUUGAGCGUGGAACAGGCAGGGGUGAAGUUCAGCCGGGCUGCCAGUUUGGUGUCUUCUGGGCACAUGCUGCAAUUCACGGAUCAAGAGGCACUGGGGUUGGGGGGGUGGAGAACCUCCCUCCCUCCCAGGCUGUCAGGUUCCUGCAAGCCAAACGCUUCCUCUGGCGAUGACUGAUUUAUCGUGGGAAAUUAACCAGGAGGUUAGCUUGGCUGGUUAAAGCCAUAACUCAGCCACUUCCAAGAUGAGGACGCAAUCCCUGCAGGGUGAAGACAGAUGUUUUAAUUCAGGCUAGGUGGGCUGGGGCGUGCGGGACAGGCUUGCCUUUGCACCCAGAACAACAGAGUUCUGCAUCCGUGCAGGAAUGGUUGGCCAGUUGGCUAGCAGCAGGGAAGCCAUCGCCCCAGAUGUUCCUCCUCCUCCUCCUGGAAAAUUCAGAAUGGGAGUUUUGAGGUGAGGCAACUUCUGAGACACUUGAUCUGGGCUUUUAGGAGGUGCCUCUUGGCCCAGUCCUCAGAGCAAUCCUCCUGAAGAACUUCACUGAUGAAAGACAGAGAGAGGAAUAAACCAGUCAGGCAACUGAAGGGUCACCUGAUUUCGUACUACUUCUGCUAGAGGCAAUCGACUUGUUUCCAGUGACUAUCUCAUCAUAAAACACACCUCCGUGCUAAAAGAUCAAAAUCUCUGCACGUAGAGAAUUAGCACGUCUGGGACAUCUUUCUCUUCCUCAUAUGCUGGUUUUCUCCGUCCUCGGAUUGCUGGACUGGAAGGUCCCUUCCAGCUCUAUUCUGAUUGAAAUGUCCUUCCUGUAUUGGAGGAAAAAUGCGGUGGUCAUCAUUCGUGGAUAUGGAGGAGGGAAUGCAGACCUCUGCCUCAGCACUUGUCUUUUGUAAACUGUAUUUUAUCCUACACACUUAAGCGCCUCCAGCCAGGGAACUAAUAUGGCCGCCUAUCCUUGAAAGAAUACCUCUGUCUUCGUCCUUCAACUCUUGCACCUGUCUUCACCCUCAACUUCCCAAAGUGGAGAUGCCACUUACCUUGACAUCUUCCGGGACUUUUCCCACAUGGCAUCCAACAAUCCCGAAAAACUCAACCGCCGUAGCCUUCAUUUCCACCCUUCUUACCGAUAGCUUUCACCUCUGGCGUUUACUUCUGAUAACCUCAAAGCAGUAACCAAGACGAGAGGUCCUAUGUGACAAAAAAAAACAACAAGGAGCUUGUGAAGAGCGGAGUCUAUCUGAGAUGUGAUGUCUCUACCCGUCAUCCAAAACAUGUACCAGUUUUGACAAACCUCCCCCAAGGAAUUUCCCCCCCCCCACCCCCCCCCGUUCCCAAGACUUUCUGAACAAUAUGGCACGGCCUUGUAAAUACAUCUGCCAGAAUUAUUAGCCACAGAAAUGGAUGAACAAAAAGAGAGUUUUUGCUACAACUUUCUUCCUUGCUAGCCGGGGAGUCUUCUUCACUAGCUGCUGGCAGCUGGUUGCGAGUAUAUGACAAGAAAGGUCAUGAUGAUUGCGUGCCAGUAUUAGAUAGGGAAGGAUUAUUCUCAUCUAUUAUUAGUCUUGGCUCAAUGGGGUCCUAAAGACUAUGAUUUAACUGCAGCUUAUUAAAGAAAAUACAGUUUGAUGGGACACAUCCCAAGGGCAGCUGCGUUCUGGGUUAGCAUGAAGUCCAAUUCAGACAAUCUCAAGUCCUUCUCUCUUCUUUCUGGACUUGAAAAAACUGUUCCAUAAAGCAGAAAAUGGCUUUGUUGUGGUAUUUCCCCCCCUGUAAUAGUACUUAGGAUGUUUUCACUGAUCAGAAAGUUCCUAACGGCACAUUUUGUUCCCAGGGAGUUGAUUUGGAUGGCAUCACUGUUGCUAGAACUUGAACCUUGAACCCAGGACUGCCAUUGAACCCAGGACUGCCAUUGACUGGGGGUACUUUCAAACAGGUGUGCUGCUUUUUCUCCUGCCUUUAAUUAUUUUUCCUUCUUAAUCUCGGGCUCGACCUAUUUUUCCUGCUUCCAUUAACGCCCCUAACCUGGUGUCAGUGUGAAGCAUUGUGGGAAACUAAAAUGGGGGUUUACCUCUACGGAGAUUCUCAGUCAUGCAGUUCAUGGUUGUCCCAAAGGUGCUUUCUGAAGCGUCAACUGGACUUCCUUUGUUUUUCCUGGAAGACGUUUCACUUCUCCUCCAAGAAGCUUUUUCAGUUCUGACUGAUCCAUUCUCCACCAUUCAGUCAGAAGCAAAACUUCUUCUUAUAGGAAAAACAAAGGCAGCCCCAUUGCCUCUUCAAAAAGUACCUUUGGGAUAAAAUGAUGGUCAGGCUUCCUUCCAAAUGCUGCUCUGAAAUAGGAAUCCAGGACCAACCUCCCUGAAAUUUUGCACCUGUCAUUGCCAAGCUGCCACGACUUCCCGAAAUGAAUGGGCUGGCCAGCACUGUCCAUUUGGGGGAUAUGAUUGGUUCCAGCUUUUCUUCCACUUUUAUCGGGAGUUUUAUUUUUAGGGAUAAAUGUAGGAACUUGCUGGGGGGGGGGGAGAGGGAUGGAGGGGCUGUGGUUGAAAGAAAAUGUUGGUGGAUGUGGAAUUCCAAAGCUGACUUCCUUGCUGGUGGUUGGUGGGUGAGAACCAACAGUCGCACAGAUAUGCCUGCAGAUUAAAGUCAUUAUUAGGUUUCCUUCUUUUUUUAAAAAAAUGGAGAGAGAAACAGAAGGCAAUGUCUUCCAGGAACUAACUAAUUUCCUUGGCAAAAUGGAACCUCUUUGGUGAAAGCUGAAGUCUGAUUAUGGGGGUUUGAAUUUCAAUUGUGUUCCAGAAUACUUGACGUGGCCUUCUGGGGUAUUGUGGGAAACUGAGGCGGCUGGCCGGCUCGUUGAUAGCCAUAAUCCACCAUCGCCCUCCGUUGCUUGCUAAAAUAUUUUGAUCAUAGUUUUUCUUCCUUCUCUUUUUUUAAACAGCAAGAAUUAAUGGAAAGUAUUAUUUUUAUAUAUAUAUAAAAAAGCUCAUAUUGUUUCAUAGUUUUGUUGUUGGUUUUUUUGAACAAGGUUAUAGGGAAGAGUUUGUACUGGUACAGACGUCUUCUUGCAAGUGCUUAAUUUUUUUAGUGUGUAUAGACAUCCUUGUUUAUGUGCUAAAAAUGUAAUAUAUCUCCAAGCAAAAUAUAAGUAUUUGUAAAAUCUUGGGGAGCUGGGGGGGGGAAGAGUGGGAGAGAUGGACAGCAAUGCCUUAUUUACAAGAAUAUAAAUAAACUUAGGAGAGAUUUUUCUUCCAAUAAACCAACUAUACUUUCCUUGUAAUUUUUUCCGGUUUGGAUUUCUUUUAAGUUGGUGAGAAAUUAUGUCAUGCUAUAUUUUAUAGGAUAAAUUUUAUUGGGAACAGUUUUAUGGCCUGGAAAGCCAGGUGACUUUUAUUCUUUUUUUCUUUUUUUUUUUUGAGGUAAGCUAGAACAAGUACUUUGUGUCCUAAGAUUAAGAAGCCAAAAUGUUUUCCUUUGAAAUGUUUAUACUUCUGCUUUCUUAGUAAUGCUAUUAAAUUAUAUGUUAGGGAGGGAUUAACUGCAGACUUCUAAGAACAAAAACAUUUUGGAUGCUUUAAAAAUGCCCAUGCCUAGAAAUACACACUGCAGAUGUAUGUAUGUACAAGUAGUUGUCAACUUACGAACACAACUGAAACCGGAAUUUCUGUUGUUAAGAAAGGUGGUUGUGCCUCGUUUUAUGACCUCUUUUUCCCCACAGUUGUUAAGUGAAUCGUGUCAUUAAGGCUGCUUGUCGGAAGCCAGCUGGGAAGGUUGCAAAUGGCCAUCCCGUCACCCAUGGAUGCAACAACUAGUGUAAAUACACACCAGUUGCCAAGCACCCAAAUGUUGAUCACCAGUUAUAAAUGUGAGGACUGGUUGUUGGUCACUUUUUUCAGUGCCGUUGUAACUUUGAACAGUCAC
Molecule: RNA transcript, 7571 nt
Organism: Crotalus tigris (Tiger rattlesnake)
Lineage: Eukaryota; Metazoa; Chordata; Lepidosauria; Squamata; Viperidae
Gene: ACAP3
Gene name: ArfGAP with coiled-coil, ankyrin repeat and PH domains 3
Exons: 26
Source: RefSeq, a predicted model, not a curated record